This is a long non-coding RNA of Achroia grisella, 330 nucleotides long. RefSeq lists it as uncharacterized. Lineage: Eukaryota; Metazoa; Arthropoda; Insecta; Lepidoptera; Pyralidae. The transcript is spliced from 3 exons. The record is from RefSeq and is a predicted model, not a curated record.
AAAAAAUUGUGACGUCCAGUUUACUUUCACAUACACGUGUGAAGCCGGGCGUGUCGUCAGUUUACUAUCUCAAGCGAUAUGACGACACGAGGCUCCUGGUCCCGAGACGAGAAUAAACACGUUGUUUUAAUAUGCCAAUGGCUAUGUUAUACAUAGUAAUUACAAGGGAUUAAAAAUAGAAACAAUGCACAAACACAAUACAAAACUAAAUAUUGAAGAAAGAAGACAUUGAAGAAGAAAAUACAUACGUAGUAUGCAUAGAAAAUACCCAAACCAAUACAAACGAUACAAUAUUAUCGCAAUUUUAAGCAGUCUAAAAAUAAUUAUGUC